RNAcentral lists this long non-coding RNA (3041 nucleotides) under Limulus polyphemus (Atlantic horseshoe crab). Its description in RNAcentral is "uncharacterized LOC111086555, transcript variant X2". Lineage: Eukaryota; Metazoa; Arthropoda; Merostomata; Xiphosura; Limulidae. The record is from RNAcentral.
GAUUCUAUCUAUAAGUGGGAGAAGAGGUAUGUAUGUUUUGGAAGUUAACAUUUUCUUGAAUUGAAAAUGUAUUUCCAAUCAUACUUACCUCCCCUAACACUCUCCUGCCCUUCCUCUUUACUAAGAGUCAGUGUUAGAGACUGUGAAUUGAGUCAGUCUUGAAAAAGUGAUAACAUUAUGCGAAUGAAGUGCUUUUAUACAGCACCAGGAUAGAGGGCACAUUCAUGUAGAUGGAGAGUGUCAUGAGACAGAUAUCACCAAGGGCAAUUUAGUGGGGUAUAAAAGACUGGAGCAAGCGAGAAAAAAUCAGACCAAUGCUGGGCACAGAAAGAAACCCUGGCAGUCAAGUAAUAGCUGUAAGUGUCGGCAGAGGUAAGUAUUAUUGGAAACACAUUUUCAAUUUAGAAAAUUGUUAACUUCUGACUCAUAGCAUUAUUUAGAGUGGUCACUUGACAAUGUACAGUACAGACAGAAGUAUCUUAACGCUGACUUAUAGCAUUAUUAAAUAUAGGAAAGUUUAGAUGGUUAUAUGUGACAUCUACUGAGCUUUUACUUUUUUUAGGGAAUCAAACUCACUUCGUGAUUCUACCAGAUAAAAUCAUUAAACCAGACAGAUGGAUGUUGGAAGUCUCCAAGAGACACACAGAGGUAUUCAGGAACCAUUUAGAACCACCUUGGUAGAUACUGUAACAAGCCGAGUACAAUAUUAUGCCUGUAGCUGCUUUCAAAGUGUUCCUGUCUGCUCAUCCUACUGCAGACUAUCAUGAUGCUCUGAAUGGCAGGUAAAAUCGUUUGAAAGCUAAACAUACUAAGGUGAUAGCAGAAGCAUAAAAGGUUGACAGUUGCUUAAUUAAUGAUGAUGAGAAUGUGGCUUUAUUGAUAUUUACUGAAUUUACUCUCAGCGGGUAGUCUUUAGUACUAGCUAGUAUGGAGACUUGUGAAUGCUGUAUUUCACUUAAAAAUUUAUCAGGUAACAAAAGAAAACAUGUCUCGAAGUUGUCUCAAAUAUACAUCCAAAACCACCCUCCUUGGGAGUUUCCAGAUUGAACUUACUUUUAAUAUUCAACAAAUUCUAGUGUAAAGACACCUCUUGGAUCUUGAGGGGGGCGUUAAAAAUAAUUGUUUUAUAUUUUCAAAAAAAAGUGUUAAGAGCCCCAAACUCCAUUCAGUUUUGAAAAAUCUAGUAAAGUGUUUGAAGCCAAUAAUUGGAGCUUGUUUUGUUUGUAAAUAUUAACAAGAAUAUCAAACAUUAUUAUCUGAUAUUUCAGUAGUUAAUAAGGUAGUAAGUAUAAUGUUUUUUUGAUGUCAUUAUAUUUGUAUGAACUGAUAUUUUGUACAUACUUGUCAACACUUAAAGCACCAGAAAGGAGCAAAUAAUGUCUCAUUAGAUGGAAAGAAAUAAAAUUCUGAUGUGCACUUAGAAUUUGCUUAGGUAAUAGACCUCUAAAGAAUCUUUAGAGGCCAUAUGGAUGGCUUGUAGAAUAAUUUAGAAAAUAUCACUAUUUUUGUGGGAAGAGUAGUAUGUGUACAAGCAAGAGUGUUUACAAAUAUACUUGUUAUAAGACAUUAGUAUUAGGCCUAUCACAUUUUUAAACACUACAUUCUUGAUCUAGUCCCUUAGAGAUUUUCAAGAAUUAUAAGAGUGUAUAAUAAUAAUAAUAAUCCAAUCACGAUAUUUGUCACAAAAGGUAUAUACACUAUAACAGUUAAUAGUGUUGUUAUGUAAGUACUAAAAUAUAAUUAAGAUAAAUUAUUCUACAGUAUUACCUCUAGCUUAUUUUGGCAAUAAUAGGGAUCAUUAAGACCAGAUAAAAUUAGGAAAUUCAGCAUCUAUAUUAUCACAAUGGGAUUUUUUAAUAAAAGUGAAUGUGGUAGAAAAUAUCAUUGACUUGAGAAUACCCAUCUGAUGAUUCAGCACAUACUAAUUAUUAUAGAUUUUAAUUUUGUGGUAUAUUGUUUUAUACCAUUAAUUAUUUCUAGUCAGUUUGUUGUAUAGGGUUGCCUUCAUGAUUUACAAGUUACUUUUGAAACUAUUUAAAUUUACUUAUUUGUAUUUGGAAAUUCUCAACAGUUGAUCUCUGACUUAACCUGAGAAAAUUACAGUAGUUUCCUAAGUGGGCAGGAUCCCCACCAAAUCUGAAAAAGCAUAAAUGAAUUAUUUGCUGCAGCUAGAAAGGUUGGUGGCUGUUUGGGUGAAGAGUUACACAGUGUCAAAGUCCAUCAGUUUUAGGUGAUGACCAUCAGUCAAGCCAAGCAGAAAAAAAGAAAGCCAUGUUGGGCUAUCUGCUGUGUCUCCCGGGAGGAAGCAAACCCUGGAUCUUAGCAUUGUAAGUCCUGAGACUGCUGUCCCAACGAGGGGACAACAUUUCUACUAAACAAAGCUUUGAUAAGUAGUCAAUUUUUAGUAAUGCUGUCAACAAAACGUUUAUGAAGGUGACAACCUAUUACAGUGAUUAGGUUACUUUUAGAUAACAAUAAAUAGAUUACGUUUUUAAGAAUGUUGGUAUGAGAUACAUACCAGAUAUUUCUUUUCCUCUUAGUUUAGAAAGGUGAUAAUAUCUUGUUCACCAAAAUCUUUUGCACUUACAGUAUGUUUGGUACGUGUAUAGUACAUAUAGUGUGCAUAUACCUAGCAUUUUUUUUUUUUUUUUUGCAAUGUGGUGACCUUAUUCUUGAGCUAGUUACUCGUCAUCAACGAUCGUUGCCACUUUGAUAUUUCUUAACUCUUUCCAAGGAAGAUAGCGUUAAAGAGUUCUUUAUACGUGUAAUAAUAUGUUCUCUAGUAAGAUUGGUAGUGUAAAGGUUUAGAAAUACAUGGCGGAUAUGUCCUCUCUAUAUUUACUUACGGAAGAGACGGGUGUGACAAAUACACCCUUGGAGAUUGCAUCUAUAAUAUGAAGUAUAUGCUGGUUGGGUACUUCCAGUCUUGUUUAUGUUUUUCCAUUUAAUAGACAAGUGCUGUCCAUCGUCUUGUAUACAUGCUCCGAGUUGUGUCUAAAUUGUGUUCAAUAAAUAAAGCAUUGCUUCCAUUUCACUAUCAA